UACGUAGGGGGCAAGCGUUGUCCGGAAUUAUUGGGCGUAAAGCGCGCGCAGGCGGCUUUGUAAGUUUGGUGUUUAAUCUCAGAGCUCAACUCUGAUUCGCAUCGAAAACUGCAAGGCUUGAGUACAGAAGAGGAAAGUGGAAUUCCACGUGUAGCGGUGAAAUGCGUAGAGAUGUGGAGGAACACCAGUGGCGAAGGCGGCGCACUGGACCACAACUGACGCUGAGGCGCGAAAGCUAGGGGAGCAAACAGG
This 252-nucleotide ribosomal RNA is filed under the name uncultured bacterium. RNAcentral describes it as "partial 16S ribosomal RNA". It matches the Rfam family "Bacterial small subunit ribosomal RNA", at positions 524 to 776 of the family's 1533-position model. The record is from RNAcentral.